AACGAACGCUGGCGGCGUGGAUAAGACAUGCAAGUCGAACGGGAUUACUUUUGUAGCAAUACAGAAGUAAUUCAGUGGCGAACGGGUGCGUAACACGUGGGCAAUCUGCCGAGAAGUGGGGGAUAGCUCGCCGAAAGGCGAAUUAAUACCGCAUAUGAUCAGGGACGACAUCUUCCCAACAUCAAAGCCGGGGCAACCUGGCGCUUUUUGAGGAGCCCGCGGCCUAUCAGCUAGUUGGUGAGGUAACGCCCACCAAGGCUAUGACGGGUAGCUGGUCUGAGAGGACGACCAGUCACACUGGAACUGAGACACGGUCCAGACACCUACGGGUGGCAGCAGUCGAGAAUUUUUCUCAAUGGGGGCAACCCUGAAGGAGCGACGCCGCGUGGAGGAUGAAGGCUUU
This 403-nucleotide ribosomal RNA is filed under the name uncultured bacterium. Its description in RNAcentral is "bacterial SSU rRNA". It matches the Rfam family "Bacterial small subunit ribosomal RNA", at positions 29 to 418 of the family's 1533-position model. The record is from RNAcentral.